RNAcentral lists this ribosomal RNA (417 nucleotides) under uncultured soil bacterium. Its description in RNAcentral is "bacterial SSU rRNA". It matches the Rfam family "Bacterial small subunit ribosomal RNA", at positions 26 to 431 of the family's 1533-position model. The record is from RNAcentral.
AGGACGAACGCUGGCGGCGUGCUUAACACAUGCAAGUCGAGCGGAAAGGCCUUUCGGGGUACUCGAGCGGCGAACGGGUGAGUAACACGUGAGUAAUCUGCCCAUCGCUUCAGGAUAGCCAUCGGAAACGGUGAUUAAUACUGGAUAUGACAUUCCUUCGCAUGUUGGGGUGUGGAAAGUUUUUUCGGCGGUGGAUGUGCUCGCGGCCUAUCAGCUUGUUGGUGGGUAAUGGCCUACCAAGGCUUUGACGGGUAGCCGGCCUGAGAGGGUGACCGGCCACGACUGGGACUGGAGACGACCGGCCCGGACUCCGUACGGGAGGCAGCAGGUGGGAAUAGUUGGACAAGUGGGACGGAAGCCGUAGAUCCGAGCAACGGCCGCGGUGAGGGAUCGACCGGCCGUUCGGGUUAGUAAACC